Molecule: long non-coding RNA, 1779 nt
Organism: Esox lucius (northern pike)
Lineage: Eukaryota; Metazoa; Chordata; Actinopteri; Esociformes; Esocidae
Source: Ensembl
GUAUGUAUCUCUUCUGUCAUACACCCUCACCCAAUACACACACACAAUAAAGAAAAAGAGUACCUAGCCCAGCAGAGUAUAACAGUUUUAAGAGUACCUAGCCCAGAUUGUCGAAAAUGUAUCUCUUCCUUCAGGCCAUAUGUGAAAAAGGAUUGCCCUGCACACACAUUUCUUUGAAUUUCAGUAACAUUUCAGUAAAAUUUGGAACAAAUGUGCUGUACACAAUAACAGCUUUUUUUAAUGCAUCUUACAACUUUCUAAUAACUUCAGAAAGACCUGUGACACUGUUAGUUCAUUAGGAACUCUUAAGGGCUCUUUUCCGACAUCCUGUUUGACCAGGGUUUACAUUUGAGGUCACACAUAGGCCAAACCCCCUUACUUCUGAAGCCAGUCCAGUGAGUUUCCCCACAGUCUGAGACCAGUCCAGAACAGUGGUUUUCCCUGCAGUCUGAGACCAGUCCAGAACAGUGGUUUUCUCUGCAGUCUGAGACCAGUCCAGAACAUUGAGUUUCCUUGCAGUCUGAGGUCAUUCCAGAACAGUGUUUCCCUGCAGUCUGAGACCAGUCCAGAACAUUGAGUUUCUUUGCGGUCCGAGACCAGUCCAGAACAGUGGUUUUCCCUGCACUCUGAGACCAGUCCAGAACGGUGGUUUUCCCUGCAGUCUGAGACCAGUCCAGAACAUUGAGUUUCCUUGCAGUCUGAGACCAGUCCAGAACAGUGUUUCCCUGCAGUCUGAGACCAGUCCAGGACUGUGAGUUUCCCUGCAGUCUGAUACCAGUCCAGAACAGUAAGUUUCCCUGCAGUCUGAGACCAGUCCAGGACAGUGAGUUUCUCUGCACUCUGAGGUCAGUGCUGAACAGUGAGUUUCCAUGCAGUCUGAGACCAGUCCAGAACAGUGAGUUUCCCUGCAGUCUGAGACCAGUCCAGAACAGUAAGAUUCUCAGCACUCUGAGGUCAGUGCUGAACAGUCUUUCCCUGCAGUCUGGGGUCAGUCCAGAACAGUGAGUUUCCCUACAGUCUGAGACCAGUCCCGAACAGUCUUUCUCUGCAGUCUGGGACCAGCCCAGAACAGUGAGUUCUUCUACAGGCUGAGACCAGUCCAGUGCUACUGUCAUGGCUUCACCUGAAGAGAUGUUCCAUCGCGUUCACAUUAUGUUCUAGGUAAGUAUUGUUCUGAUUGGUUGUUUUCAGUUGGGUUGAUCAAGAGGAAAGGAACAACAGUGGUUUCUUAUGUCCUUUAUAGUGGUGUGCUACUCCAUACCAGGGUCCAGAAGCUGGGAAACAGGCCAUCCUUCAUACCAGGGUCCAGAAGCUGGGAAACAGGCUGUCCUUCAUACUAGGGUCCAGAAGCUGGGAAACAGGCUGUCCUUCAUACUAGGGUCCAGAAGCUGGGAAACAGGCCGUCCUUCAUACUAGGGUCCAGAAGCUGGGAAUCAGGCCGUCCUUCAUUCUAGAGUCCAGAAGCUAGGAAACAGGCUGUCCUUCAUACUAGGGUCCAGAAGCUAGGAAACAGGCUGUCCUUCAUACUAGGGUCCAGAAGCUGGGAAACAGGCUGUCCUUCAUUCUAGAGUCCAGAAGCUAGGAAACAGGCUGUCCUUCAUACUAGGGUCCAGAAGCUGGGAAACAGGCUGUCCUUCAUUCUAGAGUCCAGAAGCUAGGAAACAGGCUGUCCUUCAUACUAGGGUCCAGAAGCUAGGAAACAGGCUGUCCUUCAUACUAGGGUCCAGAAGCUGGGAAACAGGCCGUCCUUCAUACUAGGGUCCUUGCUGCUAAAACAGC